Long non-coding RNA from Patiria miniata (bat star), 1199 nucleotides. RefSeq lists it as uncharacterized. The transcript has 2 exons. Lineage: Eukaryota; Metazoa; Echinodermata; Asteroidea; Valvatida; Asterinidae. The record is from RefSeq and is a predicted model, not a curated record.
CGAGGUUUCGCGAGCGUUCGGCAGUGCCCCUGGAAGAUCGACGAGAAACCCGUUUUCGCGGCAGUGUUGGGCCAACAUGGAGGGGUCAAGUACGCAGAGUGAUUUACCCAUUUUCCCUGUCAAGAUGGUUGGACACAACAUCCGCACUGGAAGAUGAACAUGACCAAUUUUAAUGGAACUCUAUUAUUUUACCAUGGAUUGAACUUUCCAAUUUUUGUGGUACAACCGGAUUUUGCAUGUUUAAUUCAAUGACGUGUGAUCAACAACUCACAAACUGACGAAUCAGGCGACGGGGAUUCUUACGCCAUGUCGCAUGGAAUAUUGCAUGUAUUGUUCGUUGAUAAAAAACCUGAGGAAUAAGCACUUUCAUGGUACAUUUAAUAUGCGCCAUCUUGUUCACAUAGCAAGAAGAACAAGCAUUGCUAGAUGCGGACACAUUUUGUAAUGUACACAUUUUGGAAAGAACGCAUGAUGACUUGGAAGCACAAAAGGUUUUGUUUGAUGACGUGUAGACUGCAACGCAUGUAAAUUUGCCCGGUAAGAAAAAUGACGCAUUACAGUGAAAAAAAAUAAUCAGUUCAAUCAAAUUUCUCUAAAUAUCAACUUCCAGUUUUAUUUCACAAAUUAAUCAAUGUCAGUAGCCUUUAUGCUGUAUAUUGAAAACCGAUAAUACAAUACAAACCUCUGCGAACGACUGUACACUGCACUCGAAGUCCAUAUCGAUGUUCUGAAAAUACGCAGACUGCGUAACAUUAUGAACCACUGGCAACUUUGCUGAUCGUCUGCGAAACAGUUUGCAUCUGUCUGAAUUGUCGGCGACACUUCCAGAUGAAAUGUUUCCAUAUUAUCUGUUCUGCAGUUUUGGUCCCUUUUUUUGUUUCACUUUGCGUUUCUUACGUUGAGAUGGAAACUAGCCUGAACAGUAUUGAUUGCUUGUUAGUUUGUAACCAUUGCAAUCUUAAAUAUGUAUUAUUUGUUCUUAUACGCCUGCAUUCUUACCCUUGUAAUUAUUAAGAAAUACAAUUUAUUGUUAUUGCCAAGGGCUGGAGCGGUUGAAUAAUCUUGCCUUAAAACAAAUUGCUGACACGUGGAAUUUUAUAAGCUCAUGGUCUAUACAUGUCGCAAGAGUAUAGUUACUGUACAUGUACAUGUACAUUGUACAUCAGUGUUUUCCAGAGCAUUAAAAACCUCACACAAUA